RNAcentral lists this ribosomal RNA (497 nucleotides) under uncultured bacterium. RNAcentral's name for it is "partial 16S ribosomal RNA". It matches the Rfam family "Bacterial small subunit ribosomal RNA", at positions 28 to 507 of the family's 1533-position model. The record is from RNAcentral.
GACGAACGCUGGCGGCGUGCCUAAUACAUGCAAGUAGAACGCUGAAGAGAGGAGCUUGCUCUUCUUGGAUGAGUUGCGAACGGGUGAGUAACGCGUAGGUAACCUGCCUUGUAGCGGGGGAUAACUAUUGGAAACGAUAGCUAAUACCGCAUAACAAUGGAUGACACAUGUCAUUUAUUUGAAAGGGGCAAUUGCUCCACUACAAGAUGGACCUGCGUUGUAUUAGCUAGUAGGUGAGGUAACGGCUCACCUAGGCGACGAUACAUAGCCGACCUGAGAGGGGGAUCUGGCACACUGGGACGGAGACACGGCCCAGACUACUACGGGAGGCAGCAGUAGGGAAUCUUCGGCAAAAGGGGCAACGCUGACUGAGCAACGCCGCGGGAGUGAAGAAGGGUGUCGGAUCGUAAAGCUCUGUUGUAAGUCAAGAACGUGUGUGAGAGUGGAAAGUGCACACUGUGACGGUAGCUUAGCAGAAAGGGACGGCUAACUACGUG